This 777-nucleotide ribosomal RNA is filed under the name Triticum aestivum (bread wheat). RNAcentral's name for it is "partial small subunit ribosomal RNA". The record is from RNAcentral. Lineage: Eukaryota; Viridiplantae; Streptophyta; Magnoliopsida; Poales; Poaceae.
CUCCAGUUCAUCUUUGAUCGCAUCAAGGCCAAACUAGCAGGAUGGAAGGGAAGACAAAUGAAUAGCGCGGGCCUGUGAGCGCUUGUCCGCUCUGUGCUCCUAGCCAUUCCUAUCUUUGCGCUAACCGCAAUCAAGCCCGCGGCUCGCGUUCUGAAGGAGAUUGAUAAGAUAUGCAGGCGGUUCCUCUGGGCCCAGGAAGAGAAGCUGUCUGGCGGGAAAUGCAAAGUCAACUGGCAGACGGUCUGCCCCCCGAUUGAAUUUGGCGGAUUAGGAGUCAUAGGCAGUGCAAAAUUCGCAAGGGCUCUGCGGCUAAGAUGGCUAUGGUUGUCGUGGGAUGAGUUUGACAGACCCUGGGCUGGUUUCCCCCUGCCAUGUGACGACCACGAUCGCCAACUCUUUGCUGUUGCAACAACCGUUUGUAUUGGCAAUGGCGAGCGCGCACUCUUCUGGGAAUCUACCUGGUUGGGUCUGAUGCCGCCAAAGGUGAUUGCACCCUCACUCUUUGCCCGCUGCAAGUGCAAGAAUCGCACCGUGAAGGAAGCGCUGCAAGGACAAAAAUGGAUCCAGGACAUCCGCCGACCACCGCUCUCCGAUGCAAACAUAUUUGAAUUCAGGGGGCUAUGGAAUAUGAUCAAUGAGGCCCAAAUCUCGCUGCAGCCAGACGCGCCAGAUAGCAUCACCUGGAAGACAUCCACCACUGGCACAUACAGCGUAGCGGCCGCUUACAAGCUCCAGUUCGCUAGCUGGAUCAGAUCAGAUUAUGCAACCAUGUUCUAG